GAAUUACUAGGAAUGUGAGGGGACGGGGCAGGAGUGAAGUGAAGGAGAGGAAAAUGGUGGGGAUGAUGCCAGCGCCGAAUUCUCGAGUCAUGUUAUUGAACAUACUGAAAAUGAGCAUCAGUUAAAUUCAACCCAAAGGGCCAGUUGCUUCCGUCCAGCAAGGCAGUCAAGCAAGGCAAAUGCAGAAGCUGGGAAAGCUGAGGCACUGAGCCACGAGG
This is a long non-coding RNA of Cervus elaphus (red deer), 218 nucleotides long. RefSeq lists it as uncharacterized. NCBI's taxonomy places the organism in Eukaryota, Metazoa, Chordata, Mammalia, Artiodactyla, Cervidae. The transcript is spliced from 3 exons. The record is from RefSeq and is a predicted model, not a curated record.